RNAcentral lists this ribosomal RNA (479 nucleotides) under Atopostipes sp. oral taxon B55. RNAcentral's name for it is "bacterial SSU rRNA". It matches the Rfam family "Bacterial small subunit ribosomal RNA", at positions 28 to 492 of the family's 1533-position model. The record is from RNAcentral. Lineage: Bacteria; Bacillati; Bacillota; Bacilli; Lactobacillales; Carnobacteriaceae.
GACGAACGCUGGCGGCAUGCCUAAUACAUGCAAGUCGAACGCUGAAGCACUCUGCUUGCAGAGUGCGGUGAGUGGCGAACGGGUGAGUAACACGUGGGGAAUCUGCCUAUAAGUGGGGGAUAACAUUCGGAAACGGAUGCUAAUACCGCAUAUAUUCUUGGACCGCUGGUCCUUGAAGAAAGGCGGCUUUGCUGUCGCUUAUAGAUGAUCCCGCGACGUAUUAGUUAGUUGGUGGGGUAAAGGCCUACCAAGACAAUGAUACGUAGCCGACCUGAGAGGGUGAUCGGCCACACUGGGACUGAGACACGGCCCAGACUCCUACGGGAGGCAGCAGUAGGGAAUCUUCCACAAUGGGCGAAAGCCUGAUGGAGCAAUGCCGCGUGAAUGAAGAAGGUCCUUCGGAUCGUAAAGUUCUGUUAUUGAGAAGAACAAGUCCAAGGAGUAACUGUCUUGACUUUGACGUACCUAACCAGAAAGUC